CCGUGCAGCACUUGCGGUUUACUUGACUGUCUACCAAGAGCCCGGCGGUUUGAAUUCCAUGCGAAGAUUUGACCCCCUGUUUUGCCUUCUACCAAUUUAACCCCCACAAUCUUUCACGAUAGCUUUAAAAUGCAUACACUUGUUUCUUUGAGAGCCCUAACAGUUGUUAAAUCGGUCCUGCGUUUCUCUGUUCUUCUGGAGAAACACACUUCAGCAUACUUAGCGCAGGAAAGUGCAGGGCGCCGAAGGUUUUGCCAGCAGUCAGCCCGAGGGGACAAGCUGACCCGGGCUUGACCGUCUACAAGAACCCACCAAGACAAGUGGCAGAGAGUGCCCGGGGUGGUGUGGGCUCCCUGGACCCUCAUCCACAAGUAUUGACCACUUGAGACUCAGUCCGACUUGACCUUUGAUACACCACGUAUAUGUAACUCUCAGUGAGGAGAUGGCGGUAGAUGGCCAGUGGUUAAAGCGUUCGCUCAUCACGCCGAAGGCCCGGGUUCGAUUCCCCACAUGGGUACAAUAUGUGAAGCCCAUUUCUGGUGUCCCCCGCCGUGAUAUUGCUGGAAUAUAUUAAAAAGCAGCGUAAAACUAAACUCACUCACUCACCCUCUCAGUGAGGAGACUGGGGAGCUCAAUUUCCUAACCACUGAAUUAUGUGGACGUCUGGACAUGUACACUUACAUAGAAGGGAUGCAUACAGACGAAGUAACUAAAUACAAGAAAGUUUGGGAAUUCGGCAAACAGUGAACUAUUUUUGUUUUAAAGAAAGAAACUUUGUCGUGAUCUCAGUUGACCAGUAUUCUAACGUCAAAAUACUCUGGCGAGUUACGACGAUGUGAACGAAUAUGGCGUGUGAAAACUCUAGUGUAGAGGCAGCAAUCAUCUAUGGGACUUUAUAUGCGUGCGUAUGUGUUUAUAACGUAUGUGAAAUAAAUAUCACUUCAACCAGUAA
Molecule: long non-coding RNA, 952 nt
Organism: Haliotis rubra (blacklip abalone)
Lineage: Eukaryota; Metazoa; Mollusca; Gastropoda; Lepetellida; Haliotidae
Exons: 2
Source: RefSeq, a predicted model, not a curated record